UACGGAGGGUGCAAGCGUUAUCCGGAUUCACUGGGUUUAAAGGGUGCGUAGGUGGGCAAGUAAGUCAGUGGUGAAAUCUCCGGGCUCAACCCGGAAACUGCCAUUGAUACUAUUUGUCUUGAAUACUGUGGAGGUCAGCGGAAUAUGUCAUGUAGCGGUGAAAUGCUUAGAUAUGACAUAGAACACCAAUUGCGAAGGCAGCUGGCUACACAAAUAUUGACACUGAGGCACGAAAGCGUGGGGAUCAAACAGG
Molecule: ribosomal RNA, 253 nt
Filed under: uncultured bacterium
Lineage: Bacteria
Description: partial 16S ribosomal RNA
Rfam family: Bacterial small subunit ribosomal RNA
Source: RNAcentral